This 1519-nucleotide ribosomal RNA is filed under the name metagenome. RNAcentral's name for it is "bacterial SSU rRNA". It matches the Rfam family "Bacterial small subunit ribosomal RNA". The record is from RNAcentral.
AGGGUUUGAUCCUGGCUCAGAGUGAACGUUGGCGGCGUGGAUUAGGCAUGCAAGUCGAACGCGAAAACUGACUUCGGUUAGUUAGUAGCGUGGCGAACGGGUGAGUAAUAGUUGGAGAACUUACCCUUGGGCGGGGGAUAACCCAGGGGAAACCUGGAACAAUACCGCAUUACACAAUCUAACGCAUGUUAGGUUGUCAAAGAUGUCACCUUUUGGUGAUGUCGCCCGAGGAUGGUUCCAACUCCUAUCAGCUUGUUGGUGAGGUAAUGGCUCACCAAGGCCGUGACGGGUAGGGGGACUGAGAGGUUGGCCCCCCACACCGGGACUGAGACACUGCCCGGACACCUACGGGUGGCUGCAGUCGAGAAUCUUCGGCAAUGCGCGAAAGCGUGACCGAGCGACGCCGCGUGCGGGAUGAAGGGUUUCGGCUCGUAAACCGCUGUUGGGAGGUAGCAAUAAGCGUGGUAACCCCACGUGAUGAGUUAAACUCCUGAGGAAGUCACAGCUAAUCACGUGCCAGCAGCUGCGGUAAUACGUGAGUGGCAAACGUUACUCGGAAUCACUGGGCUUAAAGGGGGCGUAGGCGGGCAGGAAAGUGGAGAUUGAAAUCCCACGGCUCAACCGUGGAAUUGGUUUCCAAACUAUCUGUCUUGAGGACGGCAGGGGGGUGUAGAACUUCUGGUGGAGCGGUGAAAUGCGUAGAUAUCAGAAGGAAUACCGGUGGCGAAGGCGAUGCCCUGGGCCGUUCCUGACGCUGAGGCCCGAAAGCGUGGGGAGCAAACAGGAUUAGAUACCCUGGUAGUCCACGCUGUAAACGCUGGGUACUAGCAGGAGUGGUUUCUUCGGCCUCUCUUGCGUAGAGAAAUCGUUAAGUACCCCGCCUGGGGAGUACGGUCGCAAGAUUAAAACUCAAAGGAAUUGACGGGGGCUCACACAAGCGGUGGAGCAUGUGGUUUAAUUCGAAACAACGCGAAGAACCUUACCCAGCCUUGACAUCGCUGGAUGCCGCUUCUGAAAGGAAGUUGUGCUGCCUUUGGUGAAACAGUGACAGGUGUUGCAUGGCUGUCGUCAGCUCGUGUCGUGAGAUGUCGGGUUAAUUCCCUUAACGAGCGAAACCCCUGCCGUUAGUUGCUAACGGGCCUUCGGGCGCCGAGGACUCUAGCGGGACUGCCGCGUAAGUUGCGAGGAAGGUGGGGACGACGUCAAGUCAUCAUGGCCCUUAUGGCUGGGGCUACACACGUGCUACAAUGGGCGGUACAAAGCGAAGCAAACCCGCGAGGGAGAGCAAAUCGCAAAAAGCCGUCCUCAGUUCGGAUUGCAGGCUGCAAUUCGCCUGCAUGAAGGCGGAAUCGCUAGUAAUCGCGGAUCAGCUAUGCCGCGGUGAAUAUGUUCCUGAGCCUUGUACACACCGCCCGUCAAGCCAUGAAAGCCGGGGGCACCCGAAGUCGUGAGUCUAACCUUUCGAGGAGGGCCACGCCGACGGUGAAACUGGUGAUUGGGACUAAGUCGAAACAAGGUA